GUAGGUGGCAAGCGUUGUCCGGAAUUAUUGGGCGUAAAGCGCGCGCAGGCGGUUCGUUUAAGUCUGAUGUGAAAGCCCACGGGCUCAACCGUGGAGGGUCAUUGGAAACCGGAGAACUUGAGUACAGAAGAGGAAAGCGGAAUUCCACGUGUAGCGGUGAAAUGCGUAGAGAUGUGGAGGAACACCAGUGGCGAAGGCGGCUUUCUGGUCUGUAACUGACGCUGAGGCGCGAAAGCGUGGGGAGCAAACAGGAUUAGAUACCCUGGUAGUCCACGCCAUAAACGAUGAGUGCUAAGUGUUAGGGGGUUUCCGCCCCUUAGUGCUGCAGCUAACGCAUUAAGCACUCCGCCUGGGGAGUACGGCCGCAAAGGCUG
This 374-nucleotide ribosomal RNA is filed under the name uncultured organism. RNAcentral's name for it is "partial 16S ribosomal RNA". It matches the Rfam family "Bacterial small subunit ribosomal RNA", at positions 527 to 896 of the family's 1533-position model. The record is from RNAcentral.